RNAcentral lists this signal recognition particle RNA (95 nucleotides) under Bacilli bacterium. Its description in RNAcentral is "signal recognition particle sRNA small type". It matches the Rfam family "Bacterial small signal recognition particle RNA". Rfam says of the family: The signal recognition particle (SRP) is a universally conserved ribonucleoprotein involved in the co-translational targeting of proteins to membranes. Archaeal SRP consists of a 7S RNA and homologues of the eukaryotic SRP19 and SRP54 proteins. In most bacteria, the SRP consists of a 4.5S RNA and the Ffh protein (a homologue of the eukaryotic SRP54 protein). Lineage: Bacteria; Bacillati; Bacillota; Bacilli. The record is from RNAcentral.
UAUUUAAGCCAUCGCGAUAGAAGGCUAUGAACCUGGUCAGGAUAGGAAUAUAGCAGCCAUAAGUAGUUCUUCUAUGUGCGUUGUUUUUAUUUUAG